Molecule: unclassified non-coding RNA, 329 nt
Filed under: soil metagenome
Description: partial contains 5.8S ribosomal RNA, internal transcribed spacer 2, and large subunit ribosomal RNA
Rfam family: 5.8S ribosomal RNA (bases 1-120)
Source: RNAcentral
GAUGAAGAACGCAGCGAAAUGCGAUAAGUAGUGUGAAUUGCAGAAUUCAGUGAAUCAUCGAAUCUUUGAACGCACAUUGCGCCCCUUGGUAUCCCGAGGGGCAUGCCUGUUCGAGCGUCAUUUCACCACUCAAGCCUGGCUUGGUGUUGGGCGACGUCCUCUUUGGGGACGCGCCUCGAAACGCUCGGCGGCGUGGCACCGGCUUUAAGCGUAGCAGAAUCUUUCGCUUUGGAAGUCGGGGCCCCGUCUGCCGGAAGACCUGCUCGCAAGGUUGACCUCGGAUCAGGCAGGGAUACCCGCUGAACUUAAGUAUAUCAAUAAGCGGAGGA